Molecule: long non-coding RNA, 373 nt
Filed under: Marmota monax (woodchuck)
Lineage: Eukaryota; Metazoa; Chordata; Mammalia; Rodentia; Sciuridae
Source: RNAcentral
CGCUGCUUCCGAACCGGAAAGUUGGUCUUGCCGAAGUCCCGCCGCCCCGGCGUGCGCACUCCGCUCCGCUCCGGCCGCGAGCCUACGAGCCUGGCCGGCCGCCGAGGGAGCCUGUGGAGGGGACACGAGCCAGGAGAGAAGGUCCGGAGCGAGGGGGCACCUGAGCCGGAGCGGGCCCGGCGUGCCGAGUGGUGCCGCGACCCGCCGCGGAGGAAAGAAGGCGGCGGCUAGCUUGGAGCGCCCGGAGCGCAGGCGGCGCGGCGCCCGAGCGACCCGGCGAGACAAAGGCGCCGGGCCGGAGCCCUGCCCGCGGCCGCUCGCUCCGGGAGGGGCCGCCCGGCGGCGGCGGCGGCGGCGGGGGGGCGCGGCGCGG